CCUACGGGGCGCAGCAGUGGGGAAUAUUGCACAAUGGGGGAAACCCUGAUGCAGCGACGCCGCGUGAGUGAAGAAGUAAUUCGUUAUGUAAAGCUCUAUCAGCAGGGAAGAAAAUGACGGUACCUGAGUAAGAAGCCCCGGCUAACUACGUGCCAGCAGCCGCGGUAAUACGUAGGGGGCAAGCGUUAUCCGGAUUUACUGGGUGGAAAGGGAGCGUAGACGGCAGUGCAAGUCUGGAGUGAAAGGCGGGGGCUCAACCCCCGGACUGCUCUGGAAACUGUACGGCUGGAGUGCAGGAGAGGUAAGUGGAAUUCCUAGUGUAGAGGUGAAAUGCGUAGAUAUUAGGAGGAACACCAGUGGCGAAGGCGGCUUACUGGACUGUAACUGACGUUGAGGCUCGAAAGCGUGGGGAGCAAACAGGAUUAGAUACCCGUGUAGUC
RNAcentral lists this ribosomal RNA (440 nucleotides) under uncultured bacterium. Its description in RNAcentral is "partial 16S ribosomal RNA". It matches the Rfam family "Bacterial small subunit ribosomal RNA", at positions 338 to 795 of the family's 1533-position model. The record is from RNAcentral.